RNAcentral lists this ribosomal RNA (257 nucleotides) under uncultured bacterium. Its description in RNAcentral is "partial 16S ribosomal RNA". It matches the Rfam family "Bacterial small subunit ribosomal RNA", at positions 57 to 305 of the family's 1533-position model. The record is from RNAcentral.
GCAAGUCGAGGGGUAACAGAUGAAGAGCUUGCUCAGAUUGCUGACGACCGGCGCACGGGUGAGUAACACGUAUGCAACCUACCUUUUACAGAGGGAUAGCCCAGAGAAAUUUGGAUUAAUACCUCAUGAUAUUUUUAACUCGCAUGAGUUUUAAAUUAAAACUUCGGUGGUAAAAGAUGGGCAUGCGUUCUAUUAGUUAGUUGGUAAGGUAACGGCUUACCAAGACUACGAUAGAUAGGGGUCCUGAGAGGGAGAUC